GACGAACGCUGGCGGCGUGCUUAACACAUGCAAGUCGAACGGAAAGGCCCUGCUUUUGUGGGGUGCUCGAGUGGCGAACGGGUGAGUAACACGUGAGUAACCUGCCCUUGACUUUGGGAUAACUUCAGGAAACUGGGGCUAAUACCGGAUAGGAGCUCCUGCUGCAUGGUGGGGGUUGGAAAGUUUCGGCGGUUGGGGAUGGACUCGCGGCUUAUCAGCUUGUUGGUGGGGUAGUGGCUUACCAAGGCUUUGACGGGUAGCCGGCCUGAGAGGGUGACCGGCCACAUUGGGACUGAGAUACGGCCCGGACUCCUACGGGAGGCAGCAGUGGGGAAUAUUGCACAAUGGGCGGAAGCCUGAUGCAGCAACGCCGCGUGCGGGAUGACGGCCUUCGGGUUGUAAACCGCUUUCGCCUGUGACGAAGCGUGAGUGACGGUAAUGGGUAAAGAAGCACCGGCUAACUACGUGCCAGCAGCCGCGGUGAUACGUAGGGUGCGAGCGUUGUCCGGAUUUAUUGGGCGUAAAGGGCUCGUAGGUGGUUGAUCGCGUCGGAAGUGUAAUCUUGGGGCUUAACCCUGAGCGUGCUUUCGAUACGGGUUGACUUGAGGAAGGUAGGGGAGAAUGGAAUUCCUGGUGGAGCGGUGGAAUGCGCAGAUAUCAGGAGGAACACCAGUGGCGAAGGCGGUUCUCUGGGCCUUUCCUGACGCUGAGGAGCGAAAGCGUGGGGAGCGAACAGGCUUAGAUACCCUGGUAGUCCACGCUGUAAACGGUGGGUACUAGGUGUGGGGUCCAUUCCACGGGUUCCGUGCCGUAGCUAACGCUUUAAGUACCCCGCCUGGGGAGUACGGCCGCAAGGCUAAAACUCAAAGGAAUUGACGGGGCCCCGCACAAGCGGCGGAGCAUGCGGAUUAAUUCGAUGCAACGCGUAGAACCUUACCUGGGUUUGACAUGGAUCGGGAGUGCUCAGAGAUGGGUGUGCCUCUUUUGGGGUCGGUUCACAGGUGGUGCAUGGCUGUCGUCAGCUCGUGUCGUGAGAUGUUGGGUUAAGUCCCGCAACGAGCGCAACCCUUGUUCACUGUUGCCAGCACGUUAUGGUGGGGGCUCAGUGGAGACCGCCGGGGUCAACUCGGAGGAAGGUGGGGAUGACGUCAAGUCAUCAUGCCCCUUAUGUCCAGGGCUUCACGCAUGCUACAAUGGCUGGUACAGAGAGUGGCGAGCCUGUGAGGGUGAGCGAAUCUCGGAAAGUCGGUCUCAGUUCGGAUUGGGGUCUGCAACUCGACCUCAUGAAGUCGGAGUCGCUAGUAAUCGCAGAUCAGCAACGCUGCGGUGAAUACGUUCCCGGG
This 1343-nucleotide ribosomal RNA is filed under the name uncultured bacterium. RNAcentral's name for it is "16S ribosomal RNA". It matches the Rfam family "Bacterial small subunit ribosomal RNA", at positions 28 to 1378 of the family's 1533-position model. The record is from RNAcentral.